This is a long non-coding RNA of Manihot esculenta (cassava), 1295 nucleotides long. RefSeq lists it as uncharacterized. The transcript is spliced from 5 exons. The record is from RefSeq and is a predicted model, not a curated record. NCBI's taxonomy places the organism in Eukaryota, Viridiplantae, Streptophyta, Magnoliopsida, Malpighiales, Euphorbiaceae.
AAGAAAAAAGAAAAAAGCGGCUACUUAGGGCGCUUCCCGAUGUUAGCGGUAGAAAAGAAAAUUUCCCCAUUCUCCUUCUCGGAUUCUUGCUUCCCCGUUUCUCAUUCUCACCUCCAUCAACGCAUUACUUGCAAUCUCCACCUCAACCUCUAUUGUGACCAUUUGCCUCUCCUUACCCUUGAUGCUCCUCUCCAUCUCCCUUUAUUUUCGAGACCCACCACUACAGGAAACCAUUCUUCUCUUUAUCUUCUUCUCCCUGUUCUUCUUCUUCAAGGGUUUAGUCUAUUCAGCACAAUGGACGGCAUUUCUCUCUUUGUUGUAGAAUUUUUUGCUCCCAAAGGCUACUGUUGACCAACAAGGCAUUUUAUUAUGAUGGGAAAGCUAUAAUGUCCAAAUGAAGAAUUUGAUAAUCUAAAGGAAGAAUUAAUGUGGGAAGGAAGCAGUGUUGUUAUGCUAAGAAUGGACUGACUUCUAGUGUCUAAACAAAUUAUAUGAAUUUCUGGCAUUCGUCAAUUGUUGAAUUAUAAGAUCUAACUUCCAUCAUCUUCUGUGGUAUUUUUAUAACAACACUAUAGGUUCUGAUGAGCAGAAGUUUUCAGAAGCCUCAAUGACUUAUGUAUUCGGGAAACCCAUUUUGAGUGAUGAAGAGUCGGAUAACUUAAAGCUAAAAUUAAAGGAUCGAACCAGGGAGACCGUAGAGGCCUUCAGUGAGCCAGCUACAUCUUUGUCCGUCGAGUGUUAGCCAGAGCCCUUGAGCAGGUUAUGUUAUGACGGAUACGGAAGACUAGGGCUGCCCAUUCUACGCGCCCUGAUACUAUGUAAGAGAAAGACUAGGGCUACUCAUUCUACGCCCGUGGCAUUUAUGGAUAUGCUAUGUUAUGUUUAAGAGGAAGUUCUGAGGAGCUCCGUCGAGGGCCGGACACUAAUUGGAAUAUGUAGGGGGUUACUGAAAACAGAAUGCGAGGUUCACGUCGAUCUGCACGAUUGACAGGAGUUCCACCUGAGAAUGAGGGCAUGGAUGCCCUACCCCCUGCUCUGCCAAGAGCACGGUCAAGUAGAACCAACAGAGGAGAAACAUCAAGGGACUCUAGAAGGUCUUUUGAUGUAAACAGGAGGAGAACAGAUCCGGGUAGGAUGUCUGCUGAUGUGAGGGAAUCAGUUGAGGAUGAUCAGAGGAGAGAUGGAAGUUUGGGUGUCAGUAUGUCAGAAGAGGGUAUGGGAGAAUCACAAGGAGGCGCUCAGGCCUCGAGUUUUGCUUACCCACCACAGUACCAACCCUACCCACAGGGACUAGG